UUCCCUUUCCCAAAAUAUUCCAUAGUCUGAGAAAAUGUGGAUAUAUCUUCAGUAUAUCCCUUCUUAUUAUUUCAAAUAUAACUAUUUUAAAUGUUAAGUAAUUAAGAUUAUGUUGUAAUAAUAAUAUAUUUAUUUGAGUUUUCCAAAUUUUUUUUCAGGUUAUAUUAUAUACUGGAUUUUUCUUCAUACCCACAGCCUUCUACAUGGAAGGUGGUCUUUUGGACCAAUAGGUUCUCUGAUUAAUGUGCUUGAUGACUGAUCAGGUAAUUUGGAAGAAUUUUGGAUAGAAAGCCAGAUGUAUGUUGAUAAUAUCAGUGCUAGGAUAGUAUUGGUUUUGUCAAUGUUUGUCAUUCUAUGCAAUUCUUUUUCUAAAUUAUUUUCUGGUCUCUGUUUUCAAGCAAAUUGAUUGAAGUACCGAUUGGCCCAAAAGAACCGCCCUCCAUGUCGAGGUCUGCAGAACUAUGGAAUUUUUAUGGAAUAUAAAGAAAUGCCUAAUUUGAUGAGGUACAUGUGGUUAGAAAGUUCCCUUUCCCAAAAUAUUCCAUAGUCUGAGAAAAUGUGGAUAUAUCUUCAGUAUAUCCCUUCUUAUUAUUUCAAAUAUAACUAUUUUAAAUGUUAUAUUAUAUACUGGAUUUUUCUUCAUACCCACAGCCUUCUACAUGGAAGGUGGUCUUUUGGACCAAUAGGUUCUCUGAUUAAUGUGCUUGAUGACUGAUCAGGUAAUUUGGAAGAAUUUUGGAUAGAAAGCCAGAUGUAUGUUGAUAAUAUCAGUGCUAGGAUAGUAUUGGUUUUGUCAAUGUUUGUCAUUCUAUGCAAUUCUUUUUCUAAAUUAUUUUCUGGUCUCUGUUUUCAAGCAAAUUGAUUGAAGUACCGAUUGGCCCAAAAGAACCGCCCUCCAUGUCGAGGUCUGCAGAACUAUGGAAUUUUUAUGGAAUAUAAAGAAAUGCCUAAUUUGAUGAGGUACAUGUGGUUAGAAAGUUCCCUUUCCCAAAAUAUUCCAUAGUCUGAGAAAAUGUGGAUAUAUCUUCAGUAUAUCCCUUCUUAUUAUUUCAAAUAUAACUAUUUUAAAUGUUAAGUAAUUAAGAU
Rhopalosiphum padi (bird cherry-oat aphid) is the source of this 1086-nucleotide long non-coding RNA. RefSeq lists it as uncharacterized. Lineage: Eukaryota; Metazoa; Arthropoda; Insecta; Hemiptera; Aphididae. The transcript has 4 exons. The record is from RefSeq and is a predicted model, not a curated record.